RNAcentral lists this ribosomal RNA (253 nucleotides) under uncultured bacterium. RNAcentral's name for it is "partial 16S ribosomal RNA". It matches the Rfam family "Bacterial small subunit ribosomal RNA", at positions 524 to 776 of the family's 1533-position model. The record is from RNAcentral.
UACGGAGGGUGCAAGCGUUGCUCGGAAUUAUUGGGCGUAAAGGGUAGGUAGGUGGUCUCGUUUGUCAGGGGUGAAAGCCCUGGGCUUAACCCAGGAAGUGCCUUUGAAACGGCGAGACUUGAGUUCUGAAGAGGACAGCGGAAUUCCCGGUGUAGCGGUGAAAUGCGUAGAUAUCGGGAAGAACACCAGAGGCGAAGGCGGCUAUCUGGCCAGACACUGACACUGAACUACGAAAGCGUGGGGAGCAAACAGG